RNAcentral lists this ribosomal RNA (446 nucleotides) under uncultured bacterium. RNAcentral's name for it is "bacterial SSU rRNA". It matches the Rfam family "Bacterial small subunit ribosomal RNA", at positions 354 to 796 of the family's 1533-position model. The record is from RNAcentral.
GUGAGGAAUUUUGGACAAUGGGGGCAACCCUGAUCCAGCGACGCCGCGUGAAGGAUGAAGGUCUUCGGAUUGUAAACUUCUUUUAUCUGGGACUAAGAAACCUGUAGAAAUACAGAGAGUGAAUGUACCAGAUGAAUAAGCCACGGCUAACUUCGUGCCAGCAGCCGCGGUAAUACGAAGGUGGCAAGCGUUACUCGGAAUUACUAGGCGUAAAGGGCAGGUAGGUGGUUUUGUAAGUCUAUUGUGAAAGCUCCCGGCUUAACCGGGAGAGGUCAAUGGAUACUGCAGAACUUGAGUAUAGGAGAGGUUACUGGAAUUCCCGGUGUAGCGGUGAAAUGCGCAGAGAUCGGGAGGAACACCAAUGGCGAAAGCAGGUAACUGGACUAUUACUGACACUCAGCUGCGAAAGCUAGGGGAGCAAACAGGAUUAGAAACCCCGGUAGUCC